This 1234-nucleotide long non-coding RNA is filed under the name Piliocolobus tephrosceles (Ugandan red Colobus). Its description in RNAcentral is "lncRNA (ENSPTEG00000013638.1)". The record is from RNAcentral. Lineage: Eukaryota; Metazoa; Chordata; Mammalia; Primates; Cercopithecidae.
CUAAUUUUUUAAAGUAAUAACUUUAAAAAAGGAAGUUAUAUACUCUUUAUGAUAGUGUACCCUAAAGGUUUAUGAAAUGUGUCUCAUGGAUUAAUCGUUUAACCUCAUGUGUGAAAUCUUAACUCAGGAUAUUAGGGCUGGAAGGGAUGUGAUAGACAAUCUUGCCAAGCCUGGCCCUUCUUCUACACAGAGGUCUUCAGAGAUCUGGAGGAGGAAAGUUCCUUGCCCUGAGUUCGCUGAGCCAGAACAAUAGGACUUCUUUUGUACUUGUGAAACUUGUCCAUUGUCUAAGUCUAGGUUUAUGUCAUCUGGCUGGCUUUUUACAAAGCGUGUGAAGUAAGAACAUGAAUAAUUGUCACUUAAUUAGAGACCUAGACUCAGAGGAAUUAUAGUUACUCCAUGUAUGAAAAAUUGCAGGACUGUUAACUCUGUCAUUCUUUGGUUUAGUGGGUGGAGCCAGCUGUCCUCAUUAGAAUAAAGGUUAUUUAUUCAACCCAAGUAUAAAUGGAAAAAAAGAUGUGCCCUCUGUCAUUGAGGGUUGACUGACUGGAGAGCUCAAGUGCAGCAAAGAGAAGUGUCAGAGCAUGAGUGCUAAGUCCAGAACCAUAGGGAUUAUUGGAGCUCCUUUCUCAAAGGGACAGAACCCUUUAUGUGCCUCACUUGGAAGGGGAAAAAAGAACAAAAAAAGUAAGAAAAUCCUACUGCAGUUUGGCAACUCUAAAAGGAUUUUAAUGGAUUUAUGAAACUCCCAGACUUCCUUAGAGCCACCAGCUGUGAAUCCACACAUGCCAGCAACAUCUGAAUACACUUUUUUUUCUGCCUGGGCACACUUAUUCUAGUAAAGAGUAUAGACUUCAACACACAUCUGUGCUCAAAGAAGAUAAAAAACAAAGAACAAAAUCAAACGAGACAAUGUGUGAGUUGAAACUGCUAAGGUUGAUUUUCUCCAGGUUUCUCAGAAUCUGGGCAGUGUUUUGCUUCCUUUUAAUUUGGAACCCUUGCUGUGUACUCUGACUUUUUACUGCAAAACAAAUUGAGAGAGGCCAGAGGUUAGAGGCCCAAACAGCAUUUGAACUGUCAGUAAAUACUACUUUGCUUCUCCUGGAAAUCCUCCAAAAGUCUCUCCCAAACACAGGGACAUUUUGCUGACACAGAAGUGUUCCUUUUAAAAUCCACACUGUUCUCACCUACUCUUGAACAGGUUAUAAUAAACAUAUAAUUUAAAAAAUUGACA